UUCAAAGCGCGUUUCUCAUAGUUCAUGGCCAUGGGUUUUGGGCAUUGAAAAAUCAACUAAAGGGAGCUCAUUUCAUAACCUAGAUAGUUAACGUAAGGGGCACCGUAAAUACUCUUAAAAACAUAGUUUUGCACCUUUAAAUGACAAGGUUAUUUUAGGGAGAAAAUGAGGGUUAAGAAAGGAAAUUUUAAGAAAUUUUGAGUUUAUUGUUAGGAGAAUAUCUCGUGUAAGUUGGAGGAGCUUUCGGGGGAGUUGGGAGAGUGUGGUUACAGGAGGUUUCCAGGGUAUGUUUUAGGGUAAGUGUUGGAAGAAUGGAAGGGGGUUGGUGUGCGAAACAAGAAGCAAUUCCAGAACAACGCUAAGAACAAAAGCGCCUUUAAAGAAUUUAUUGGAAAACCCAGGUAAGGGGAGUUAACUCUUCUUAAUUAUAUUUGUGUGAAGCAUGAUAGUAAGAGCUUGGAAAUUUCGUUGAAUCAUAGAGGUGCUUGUAAUGCAGUCACGCAUGUCGCUUGGGUUUUGAUUUAACUAUGGGGAUUGGGUUUA
This 543-nucleotide long non-coding RNA is filed under the name Vigna radiata. Its description in RNAcentral is "long non-coding RNA (VRAD_LNC017348)". Lineage: Eukaryota; Viridiplantae; Streptophyta; Magnoliopsida; Fabales; Fabaceae. The record is from RNAcentral.